CCCUUAGAUGCUCUGGGCCGCACGCGCGCUACACUGGUCGAUGCAACGAGUUUCUUUCCUUGGCCGACAGGCCUGGGCAAUCUUUGAACAUCGAUCGUGAUCGGGAUAGAUUCUUGUAAUUUUUGAUCUUAAACGAGGAAUUCCUAGUAAACGCAAGUCAUCAGCUUGCAUUGAUUACGUCCCUGCCCUUUGUACACACCGCCCGUCGCACCUACCGAUUGAAUGGUCCGGUGAAAUCCUCGGAUCGAGCCGUGGGGCAACUCCGGUUCGAGAAGUUGAUUAAACCUUACCAUUUAGAGGAAGGUGAAGUCGUAACA
This 317-nucleotide ribosomal RNA is filed under the name uncultured eukaryote. RNAcentral's name for it is "partial 18S ribosomal RNA". It matches the Rfam family "Eukaryotic small subunit ribosomal RNA", at positions 1470 to 1796 of the family's 1831-position model. The record is from RNAcentral.